AUGGAGAUCGCCACGACGCCGCCGGAGUUCCGCUUCGAUGGCGCGGUCCUCGAUGACGACGCCUACCCCGCGGGGUCCGCGAGCAUCAGGAACCCGUUCGGUUCCGCCGAUGCGUUGGAGGCCGGCAACCCGUUCCUGGCCACCACGGCGGUGACCGCGCCCCCGUCGCCCAACCCGUUCGGGCUCCUCCCGCCCGAUGUCUCCGCCGACGGCCUCUCCGACGGCGCCGACCCCUUCGACCUCUUCCAGCACUUCGCCAGCGCCCCCGCCAGCCCGGAGCGCGCGGCUGCCAUAUACGCGCAGUUCUCCGGCGCCGGCGACGGUGGCGACGGCUUCCAGCCCCGCGCGUCGUACUCUACGCGCCGCACGGUCGAAUCCGCCGUGCCGUUCGACUGGGAGGAGAAGCCGGGGACACCGAAGCCCGGGGUCGGCUCCGGUGCGACGGCGACCGGGGACGGUGAGAACGCGGACUUCGACUUCGGCAUCCUCCUGGACCGGAGCGCGCAGGAGCCGGAUCAGCUGACGACGGCGGACGAGCUCUUCGACGAAGGCAAGAUCCGGCCGCUCAAGCCGCCGCCGCGUCUGCUCGACGGCGGCAGCGUGGGCUCGUCGCCACGGUCGGCCAGGUCCGCGAUGUGGUCUCCCCGGCUUCGGGGCCUGACCGGGCCCGGUCCGGACUUCGACCCGUUCGCCACAGCCAUGGCGAACGCGUCCAAGGCGGCCGCGCCAUCCCCCCUCGGCCCCGGCGUCAAAGACGCAGUGCCCGACACCGCAACAGACACCUUGCCGAUGAAUCCCGAUUCCGUCGCGUCGCCACGCUCCGUCCCACCGACCGCGAACAAUGGCGGCAGGAAGAAAUGGCGGCUCAGCGACCUGCUCCUGUUCCGGAGGCUAUCGGCCAAAGGACGCGCCGGGGGCAGCACCAUCAGCAGGGAGCCGGUGUUCAAGUACUCGCCGGUGCAACAUCUGGGCACGCCGGUCAAGAAGACAGAACCCGUGGGUGCCACUGCCAAUGGCGACGCCCCGGCGGGCGGGAAGCAGAAGAAGCAAAACAAGUUCAGCGCGACGGCGGGGGCAGAAGACGGCGCAGCGCGGCACGGGCUGAGCCUGAUGGGGUGCGUCCGGCUGAACCCCGGGCUGCACCGGCUGGCCAAGGGCCUCAACGGGUCCUCCACGUCGCACUUAGGCCGCCGCACCGCCAGGGCGGCCAUGCACAGCGGGUAA
This 1224-nucleotide ribosomal RNA is filed under the name Triticum aestivum (bread wheat). RNAcentral's name for it is "partial small subunit ribosomal RNA". Lineage: Eukaryota; Viridiplantae; Streptophyta; Magnoliopsida; Poales; Poaceae. The record is from RNAcentral.